GUUAUUUUUUGUUAUAGAUUUAUCUGCUCUUUUUGUGCAUCUCCUCUCGAGUAUUAAAGAGAUGGAGGUGCUCAUUAUCUUCACAAGAUAUAGGGAUGCACUGUACUAUUGCAGCUCUUCAUCUUUUCACGUGCAUACGAGAUGAGCAUUCUGUGCAGUGAACCCCACAGUCCUUUUUGUCUUCUAGCCUAGCCCCAUUACUGGGGUGUCUUCCUUGCUGAUACCCUUUAGUAUUCUGCCAAGGAAACUAGGUGUACUUGAAAUUCAUAUUUCAACAGGCUGUAAAGAUGCAACACGAACACCCGUGGAAUAGGGCUUGAGGGAUCAUUCCAUUGUGCAGCUGUUUUAACAGACAGUGUGAUGAUGAAUAACUGCAUUGUAGGCAUCUGUAAUGAUAUAUUGCAACUGGUUCCUGAAAGCCAUAUGCUGAAGAUGAGUAUCAAGUUUGUUGUAUGGACAAGAGAUUUUGUUAAUUUGGAAUAUGUGUUCAGACACAGAAUUUCUUGCAUAUGUCAGCACCAGUUAUGUGAGCAGCAGUUACAAUGAGCAGCAAAGAAAAGUGAAAAUUAAAUAAUGUAAAACUAUAAAAUGUGUAAAUCAGGGCGACCAACUUUGUUUAUCUGAAAUAUUUUUUAUUGUUUUAGGAAUGG
RNAcentral lists this long non-coding RNA (650 nucleotides) under Gallus gallus (chicken). Lineage: Eukaryota; Metazoa; Chordata; Aves; Galliformes; Phasianidae. The record is from RNAcentral.